GUUNUUUGAUAAUACCUUACUACUUGGAUAACCGUGGUAAUUCUAGAGCUAAUACAUGCUGAAAAUCCCGACUUCGGAAGGGAUGUGUUUAUUAGAUAAAAAACCAAUGCCCUUCGGGGCUCCUUGGUGAUUCAUGAUAACUUUACGGAUCGCAUAGCCUUGCGCUGGCGACGGUUCAUUCAAAUUUCUGCCCUAUCAACUUUCGAUGGUAAGGUAUUGGCUUACCAUGGUUUCAACGGGUAACGGGGAAUUAGGGUUCGAUUCCGGAGAGGCAGCCUGAGAAACGGCUACCACAUCCAAGGAAGGCAGCAGGCGCGCAAAUUACCCAAUCCCGACACGGGGAGGUAGUGACAAUAAAUACUGAUACAGGGCUCUUUUGGGUCUUGUAAUUGGAAUGAGUACAAUUCAAAUCUCUUAACGAGGAACAAUUGGAGGGCAAGUCUGGUGCCAGCAGCCGCGGUAAUUCCAGCUCCAAUAGCGUAUAUUAAAGUUGUUGCAGUUAAAAAGCUCGUAGUUGAAACUUGGGCCUGGCUGGCGGGUCCGCCUCACCGCGUGCACUCGUCCGGCCGGGCCUUCCUUCUGAAGAACCUCAUGCCCUUCACUGGGCGUGCUGGGGAAUCAGGACUUUUACUUUGAAAAAAUUAGAGUGUUCAAAGCAGGCCUUUGCUCGAAUACGUUAGCAUGGAAUAAUAAAAUAGGGCGUGCGUUUCUAUUUUGUUGGUUUCUAGAGACGCCGCAAUGAUUAACAGGAACAGUCGGGGGCAUCAGUAUUCAGUUGUCAGAGGUGAAAUUCUUGGAUUUACUGAAGACUAACUACUGCGAAAGCAUUUGCCAAGGAUGUUUUCAUUAAUCAGUGAACG
Molecule: ribosomal RNA, 860 nt
Filed under: uncultured fungus
Lineage: Eukaryota; Fungi
Description: SSU rRNA
Rfam family: Eukaryotic small subunit ribosomal RNA
Source: RNAcentral